CAUAUAUGUAUUUGGUAAUGAGGGAAUUUUUAUGUACGUAUGAGAGCCUUAGGAUUUUUUCUCGUGACCAAGCGGCGAUAACUUCGUAUUCUUAUGCCAAUCUAGGGUGGCGUUUGUCCUCCGCCUUUAGCCGCUUUGGUCUUGGCUAGUUCAUCUACAGGUGACAUCAUCCAAGCGGUGUCGCGUGGCCUUCGACCCUCAUUUUGCUUGCACCUUUAGGCUCGACGAGAGUAGACGAGUAACGGCGGCUGCGAAACCCUCUUUGGUUCCUUCCAAUCUCUGGUUGUUCUAGCAGGUGAGGCUUCUUACUGUGGGUGUCGAAGUCGUGGGCUCUCUUUCUCGGAUUCCAGGUGGUUGGAUCCCGGAGAAUUGGAUGUGGGUCGAGGGCGGAUUCAAUCUCCCUAACUUCGGGCACUGGGCAAGUGAUUGGAGGGCAGCAUUAAAUUUCCUCUAUAGGUCCUUCGAAGAUCCAAGUUUCAGCGGCGGCGUUGCGUGCCGGCGUCAGUGCAGUUCGACUACGGUGAGUUCAGAUCGAACUCGUCGGCGUUGAGUUUGCUCCCAACCAGAUUCAUCUGGUUUUUUGGUGGUUCGCUGUUACAGGAGAGAUGGGGUGGUGGCAAUACCGGCAGCCAAAGAAUAAAUGUAAAUUGAGUGUAUGCAUGAUAAACAUCACAGUACCAUAUAUAUAACAAGUUUGUCUUUUGAAUCGAUAUUCCAAUAACAAGUAUGUUAGGUAGAAUAUUAUUUCUUGUGUGUGUGUGAAGCUGUUCGGUGAGAAAUAACUAGGCAAUAUAAUUUUGAGUUUGGACUUUUGAGAACAAAAGAUAAAGAGA
Rosa rugosa (rugosa rose) is the source of this 833-nucleotide long non-coding RNA. RefSeq lists it as uncharacterized. NCBI's taxonomy places the organism in Eukaryota, Viridiplantae, Streptophyta, Magnoliopsida, Rosales, Rosaceae. The transcript is spliced from 2 exons. The record is from RefSeq and is a predicted model, not a curated record.